GCAAAAGGAAGGGCCUUGCUGAGGAAAGGCAAGGCUGCCGCUUGCUCCGGUGCCGCUCAGGUGGGAGAGUGUCACAGUGAUGGAUGGUCCUUAAAAACAAGUACUGCGUGGCUGGAAGUCACCGAAUGCCACAGGGCAGAGCAGCUGUUCUCGUUCAAGCACAUCAUCUUCUCACCGUGCUCCGAGCGAUCUGACAUGAGGUGGAGGCUGGAACACUGGCAUCCUGCAUGGCGCUCCCUGUCCGUGCUCCCAGCUGACACGGCCAGAGCUGUAACUACAGUGCAAACUUGAAGGAGGGAAAAAUACGUGAGAACAGACAAGGAGCAGGGCAUGUAGUGUGG
This 341-nucleotide long non-coding RNA is filed under the name Gallus gallus (chicken). RNAcentral's name for it is "long non-coding RNA NONGGAT001061". Lineage: Eukaryota; Metazoa; Chordata; Aves; Galliformes; Phasianidae. The record is from RNAcentral.